This 253-nucleotide ribosomal RNA is filed under the name uncultured bacterium. RNAcentral's name for it is "partial 16S ribosomal RNA". It matches the Rfam family "Bacterial small subunit ribosomal RNA", at positions 524 to 776 of the family's 1533-position model. The record is from RNAcentral.
UACGAAGGGGGCUAGCGUUGCUCGGAAUUACUGGGCGUAAAGCGUGCGCAGGCGGUUCGUUAAGUUCGAUGUGAAAGCCCCGGGCUCAACCUGGGAACUGCAUUCGAGACUGCAAGACUGGAGUAUUGGAGAGGGCAGCGGAAUUUCCGGUGUAGCGGUGAAAUGCGUAGAUAUCGGAAGGAACAUCAGUGGCGAAAGCGGCUGCCUGGCCAAAUACUGACGCUCAUGUGCGAAAGCGUGGGGAGCAAACAGG